Molecule: ribosomal RNA, 432 nt
Filed under: uncultured bacterium
Lineage: Bacteria
Description: partial 16S ribosomal RNA
Rfam family: Bacterial small subunit ribosomal RNA
Source: RNAcentral
GAGCGAACGCUGGCGGCAGGCUUAACACAUGCAAGUCGAGCGCCCCGCAAGGGGAGCGGCAGACGGGAGAGUAACACGUGGGAACAUACCUUUUGGUUCGGAACAACUGAGGGAAACUUCAGCUAAUACCGGAUAAGCCCUUACGGGGAAAGAUUUAUCGCCGAAAGAUUGGCCCGCGUCUGAUUAGCUAGUUGGUGAGGUAACGGCUCACCAAGGCGACGAUCAGUAGCUGGUCUGAGAGGAUGAUCAGCCUCACUGGGACUGAGACACGGCCCAGACUCCUACGGGAGGCAGCAGUGGGGAAUAUUGGACAAUGGGGGCAACCCUGAUCCAGCCAUGCCGCGUGAGUGAUGAAGGCCUUAGGGUUGUAAAGCUCUUUUGCCCGGGAAGAUAAUGACGGUACCGGGAGAAUAAGCCCCGGCUAACUUCGUG